Molecule: long non-coding RNA, 207 nt
Filed under: Lathyrus oleraceus (garden pea)
Lineage: Eukaryota; Viridiplantae; Streptophyta; Magnoliopsida; Fabales; Fabaceae
Description: Pisum sativum (pea) long non-coding RNA (PSAT_LNC036351)
Source: RNAcentral
GUGCGGAAAAUAAAUAAAAUAAAAGCAAUGCGGGAAAUAAAUAAAAUAAAAGCGAUGCGGGAAAUAAAUAAAAUAAAAGCGAUAAUUAAGAACCUGCUCCAAACGGAGGCUUCGAUUCUGGUACAAGAAUAAACCUCUGACUCCUGAAGCUAAAGACGACAGCGACUCGAAGUGACCCAACUCAAUCUCACAAAGAUGCGAUAACCC